UGGGAUCUGGCAAAGGCUGAGUAUUCAUUCAGGAAGCGAGCAAACAACUGGUGGAAUCUCUUCACAGUGUCAUGGACAGUUUAUUCAUUGUUAAGCAUCCACAAGACCCUCAAACCUGGACAGAACAUGAAAGAACAUUGUUCCUGCCCCAUCUUCUAAAUAAGUCAGAGUACCCCAAGGAAGGAUCAGCAGAACUUUCUUCUGCCUGUAGCAGGCAUGACGUUGUCUAAUGAAGACACAGGGUGCUGCAGACCCAGAUAAAACACAAAGGACAUGACGUAUGCCUGGAGAGACGCAUCUGGGGGCACAGAAACCCACCCCGGAUGUCUUCAUUCUCCAUGUCUGCAUAUUCGAUCACCUAGAAAACGUUUGUGGGCCGCCGGUGUUUAUUUGUUUCACCCAUAUACCUCAGAUGGAACAAUUGCGGACCCAUGAUGAAUGUGCCUGGUAAUCAAACUUCAAAUUAAGCAGAGAAUAACGUGCUUCCAUGUCUG
Molecule: long non-coding RNA, 494 nt
Organism: Camelus dromedarius (Arabian camel)
Lineage: Eukaryota; Metazoa; Chordata; Mammalia; Artiodactyla; Camelidae
Exons: 4
Source: RefSeq, a predicted model, not a curated record